UACACAAUAUGAAGAAAGAAGGGAUGGACAAUAAAGUCGAGUAGUUGCAGGCAUAUCCGUCGGGAAUUUGGCACGCCUAUUGUAAUGCUUUAUAUAAUGUACACUACCUUUUCUGUGGAGGGCCAUAGGGUAAAUUGUUGUUAGCUCUGGUGGUUCGAUCUGUAUCAUUUUUCAACUGCCCUGUGUGUAUAUAUAUUUGUUUACCGGCCUGAGGAGAUCCCUCUCGAGUAGAUAGAUCUCUGCAUAACUUUUAGUGAGCCCCCCAUCGAUAGCCACGUGAAUUGUGGUGGUCCUUGGGGUGCUGCCCUAGAUGGCAGGGUUAUAGCCCUGUGAAGGGGACCGUCCCUGCUGCGUUGCGGCAUCAUACUCGAUCAUGUAGCUGGUUUUCUGAUGAUAUUAGCAAUGACAGGUGGAGCUUGGGCAGUUUGCCAACAAUCAAGAUGGCGCGUGUAUGCCUGGAGUACACUGGGCAUGCGCGGAACAUCGCACACACCAGGGAUGAGUACGGAACGGCGGAGUGGAAAUGCGCAUGCGCCGGGAGUCGUUUGUGAUGCAUGACGCACUCAGCCGGCCGUGUAUCCCCUGAUUGGCACUCCUCUGAGCAGGCGCAAUAGAAGACAUACAACGCCGUGAUGGUGGAUUGAUAGCGUGUCUUACCCGAUGGCUCUUGUUUUCCCACCUGGUGAUGCUGCGGAUGUAUCUUUGCGACUCUGCCUUGAUGACCUGUCAGCGUCCUGCUCUUUCUCCUCUGUGAGUGGCACUAGGAACCGGCGUAUUGAUUCCUGUAUGUCUCCACGGGUCCUCUGCAUGUGUCACGUGCGUUGGCGGUCACGUGGUCCUCCGCGUCGGGCUGCUACUGGGGCUGGGCUGGGACAAUCUCCAGUGAUCGCGCCGCGCUGCUCCCUCUCUCCAGCCGUAGAGUUGCUAGGCAACCGAAGCCGUGUGGGACGCCGCUUGCGAGUGAGUCGGAUAAUCCGAUCUGGACAUCCAAUAUGACAGUGUUUGCCGAGGUCAAACGAGCCCCCCUUUACGGAGCCUCGCGCCCCCCCAAUAUUGCUUGUGUCAAACUUGAAUAGCUCCAAGGGGGUAUAAACAUAUAACAUUGAUGUAUGGGGGCGCGGGCCUGUCAGGAAGGAGAGAUCUGGGUGCUGAACAAGGAAUUGUUGGAAACGUAAGGACUUUGAAGUUCCUAACAAAGUGACAUAUGAAAACUACAGAAAUAUGGACAUUCGAUAGAAAUACAAUAUCGAUUUAAUGACCAUUACAUAUACUUUGGAAAGAAAGAAAUCGCGAGUUCCAGUUAAUACAAAUGGGACCCAUAUCCACCUCUUCCAGAUAUCCCUCACUGUCCCAGCAUGCAUUGUCCUAAUUAUGGAUGCUAUAUAAAGGAGGACAUGAGACCAUCACUGUUUAAACCACUGAAGAAGGAGUUGUUUCACCCCGAAACGCGUUUGGUAAUUAACAGUGAGGGAUCAUCGAGAAAGGAGCGCUCCAAUAACGGCAUACUCUAAAAAUCGCAUAUUCCAAUAUUGGGGAUAGUAGCGAUCUUUGAAUCGACUACGCACAUCUACAGGUGAUCCGAAUUUCCGCUCGAAAACUUUAAAUCACAUGACCGAACAGUGAACCACGUGGGACGCCACGUAGGUCCUGGCAGGUCACAACGGGGAACUGUGCUACACUACCGCACCGUAUUCACAGGAGCGGGGGAAAUUUUCACCCACAGCUUCAUGCAGAUGAUGGUGGAUAUUGGCGAUAACAGAUGAAGAUUUGGUAAUGUAAAACAACCAAUAUAAUACCAUUAACUUCCUGUGGCUUUUAACAUUUCUGAGUGCAUACGAACAUAUGAUCCUGGGGCCAGUUCGACUGAACUGAUACGAUUGCGAUAUAGACCCGAUUGUUCCUCUCCUAUACCGGAUUAUGCGUAUUGGGAUAUUUUGUAAAUUGCGGUAUUUUUUACUUUUUUAUGAUAUGUAAUGAUGUGUAUGUGAUACAUUUAUGUUUACUCAUUUUAAAGAUUUACUAAAGAUUUUAUUUUGGAUACAA
This is a long non-coding RNA of Bufo gargarizans (Asiatic toad), 2043 nucleotides long. RefSeq lists it as uncharacterized. The transcript has 2 exons. Lineage: Eukaryota; Metazoa; Chordata; Amphibia; Anura; Bufonidae. The record is from RefSeq and is a predicted model, not a curated record.